This 335-nucleotide ribosomal RNA is filed under the name uncultured soil bacterium. Its description in RNAcentral is "bacterial SSU rRNA". It matches the Rfam family "Bacterial small subunit ribosomal RNA", at positions 26 to 390 of the family's 1533-position model. The record is from RNAcentral.
AGAACGAACGCUGGCGGCAUGCCUAAUACAUGCAAGUCGAACGAACACUUCGGUGUUAGUGGCGCACGGGUGCGUAGCGCGUGGGAAUCUGCCCCUUGGUUCGGAAUAACAGUUGGAAACGACUGCUAAUACCGGAUGAUGAACGAAAGUCCAAAGUAUUUAUCGCCAAGGGAUGAGCCCGCGUAGGAUUAGCUAGUUGGUGAGGUAAAGGCUACACCAAGGCAACGAUCCUUAGCUGGUCUGAGAGGAUGAUCAGCCACACUGGGACUGAGACACGGCCCAGACUCCGUACGGGAGGCAGCAGUAGGAAUAGUGACAGUGGACGAAGCUGAUCC